GGGAAGUUGGCUCAGUGGUAGAGUGCUUGCCUUGCAUGCAUGAGGUCCUGGGUUCGAUUCCUCAGCAUCACA
This 72-nucleotide transfer RNA is filed under the name Dipodomys ordii (Ord's kangaroo rat). It matches the Rfam family "tRNA". Rfam says of the family: Transfer RNA (tRNA) molecules are approximately 80 nucleotides in length. Their secondary structure includes four short double-helical elements and three loops (D, anti-codon, and T loops). The record is from Rfam by way of RNAcentral. Lineage: Eukaryota; Metazoa; Chordata; Mammalia; Rodentia; Heteromyidae.